GCCCACAGUUGCCAGCGUACUCUCUGGAGUGACGGGUACACUGUGGGGACCGCCGCUGCUAAAGCGGAGGAAGGAAUGGGCAACGGUAGGUCAGUAUGCCCCCGAAUAUCCCGGGCUACACGCGAGCUACAAUGGUUGGUACAAUGGGGUAUCUACCCCGAAAGGGGACCGGGAAUCUCCUAAAACCAAUCUUAGUUCGGAUUGAGGGCUGCAACUCGCCCUCAUGAAGCUGGAAUCCGUAGUAAUCGCGUUUCAACAGAACGCGGUGAAUACGUCCCUGCCGUCCUU
Molecule: ribosomal RNA, 288 nt
Filed under: uncultured Methanosaeta sp.
Lineage: Archaea; Methanobacteriati; Methanobacteriota; Methanomicrobia; Methanotrichales; Methanotrichaceae
Description: partial 16S ribosomal RNA
Rfam family: Archaeal small subunit ribosomal RNA
Source: RNAcentral